Molecule: ribosomal RNA, 471 nt
Filed under: uncultured Streptomyces sp.
Lineage: Bacteria; Bacillati; Actinomycetota; Actinomycetes; Kitasatosporales; Streptomycetaceae
Description: bacterial SSU rRNA
Rfam family: Bacterial small subunit ribosomal RNA
Source: RNAcentral
CGCUGGCGGCGUGCUUAACACAUGCAAGUCGAACGAUGAACCACUUCGGUGGGGAUUAGUGGCGAACGGGUGAGUAACACGUGGGCAAUCUGCCCUGCACUCUGGGACAAGCCCUGGAAACGGGGUCUAAUACCGGAUACUGAUCCUCGCAGGCAUCUGCGAGGUUCGAAAGCUCCGGCGGUGCAGGAUGAGCCCGCGGCCUAUCAGCUAGUUGGUGAGGUAACGGCUCACCAAGGCGACGACGGGUAGCCGGCCUGAGAGGGCGACCGGCCACACUGGGACUGAGACACGGCCCAGACUCCUACGGGAGGCAGCAGUGGGGAAUAUUGCACAAUGGGCGAAAGCCUGAUGCAGCGACGCCGCGUGAGGGAUGACGGCCUUCGGGUUGUAAACCUCUUUCAGCAGGGAAGAAGCGAAAGUGACGGUACCUGCAGAAGAAGCGCCGGCUAACUACGUGCCAGCAGCCGCGGU